Molecule: unclassified non-coding RNA, 400 nt
Filed under: soil metagenome
Description: partial contains 5.8S ribosomal RNA, internal transcribed spacer 2, and large subunit ribosomal RNA
Rfam family: 5.8S ribosomal RNA (bases 1-122)
Source: RNAcentral
GAUGAAGAACGUAGCGAAAUGCGAUACUUGGUGUGAAUUGCAGAAUCCCGUGAACCAUCGAGUCUUUAAACGCAAGUUGCGCCUCAAGCCAUUAGGUUGAGGGCACGUCUGCCUGGGCGUCACAUAUCGUUGCCUGAUGCCAGUUUCCUCGUGAUGGGUGACUGUGCAGGGCGAAUGAUGGCUUCCCGUGAGCAUUGUUGCCUCAUGGUUGGUUGAAAAUUGAGUCCUUGGUAGGGAGCGCCGUGAUAGAUGGUGGUUGAGUGACGAACGAGACCCAAUCAUGUGAGACCCCUACCGAAUUUGGCCUUCAUGACCCACAUGCGUCUUUGGAACGCUCAUGACGAGACCUCAGGUCAGGCGGGGCUACCCGCUGAGUUUAAGCAUAUCAAUAAGCGGAGGA